Molecule: long non-coding RNA, 220 nt
Filed under: Elaeis guineensis (African oil palm)
Lineage: Eukaryota; Viridiplantae; Streptophyta; Magnoliopsida; Arecales; Arecaceae
Description: long non-coding RNA (EGUI_LNC039288)
Source: RNAcentral
AGACAAUGUGCCACAAAUUGAAUCCACUGUCAAAUUUUUUUAGUGUUCAAAAAACCUCUAAGGCCAUGAAUUUAUUUCAAAAUUCUUAGCUUGCAAGUUAUUUGGAUCAUAAUCGAACUCUAUAGGCACCUACUUAUCUUUAUCCAUGUAAGGAGCUCUAUAACGUAUAAUCUAUGAAUACUCCCCCGUACAUACAAUUUUUUUUUUCUUUUCACACAAU